This 71-nucleotide transfer RNA is filed under the name Nesterenkonia salmonea. RNAcentral describes it as "Nesterenkonia sp. GY074 tRNA-Cys". It matches the Rfam family "tRNA". From Rfam's summary of the family: Transfer RNA (tRNA) molecules are approximately 80 nucleotides in length. Their secondary structure includes four short double-helical elements and three loops (D, anti-codon, and T loops). RNAcentral also lists the same sequence under 3 other names. Lineage: Bacteria; Bacillati; Actinomycetota; Actinomycetes; Micrococcales; Micrococcaceae. The record is from RNAcentral.
GGUGGGGUGGCCGAGUGGUGAGGCAGCGGCCUGCAAAGCCGUUAACGCGGGUUCGAUUCCCGUCCCCACCU